This is a non-coding RNA of Cricetulus griseus (Chinese hamster), 477 nucleotides long. Lineage: Eukaryota; Metazoa; Chordata; Mammalia; Rodentia; Cricetidae. The record is from RefSeq and is a predicted model, not a curated record.
CUCACAUGUCUUUUUCCUUUGCUCCCUUUUCUAGCAGAAGUGCCGCGGUUGCAAAGGGAACACAUGUCCUCAAGCUGUUUGCCCCAAACCUCACAAUUAAAUGACAUUUCUAAAAUGGAUCCCACAGCACAGACGUUUUCAAGCAGGAAAUGGGCAGAACAGGAGGCCACAGGACAUGAUCUUCUCCGGAGAGUGCGCAGUCUUCGCCAGAGACUCACCGCCCAGGCUCGCAGCAGGUGUCGGGACCCUCAUCUUUUGGUGACUUAGAAGCCAUUUCACCGUGAAACAAUCAAAGAGAUACCUUUUUUAAAUCAAUGACACUGAUUUUUCAAUUAUUUAUUCUAAAUUUUUAUAAAGGUCACCUUUUGUAUAGAGAAAUAUGUCUAUAAAAUUAUGUUUUCUAUUGAAUUUUAAUGCUUUUGGCAUGUAAAGGGCUUCCGGAAUGUUCCCCAGUAAAGGUGUUUGGAAGCUAUUAAA